RNAcentral lists this ribosomal RNA (527 nucleotides) under Euphrynichus bacillifer. RNAcentral's name for it is "partial 16S ribosomal RNA". It matches the Rfam family "Bacterial large subunit ribosomal RNA", at positions 1825 to 2600 of the family's 2925-position model. Lineage: Eukaryota; Metazoa; Arthropoda; Arachnida; Amblypygi; Phrynichidae. The record is from RNAcentral.
GGUUUUUCGUUAAUUAAUGAAAAAUCUGACCUGCCCUAUGAGAUUAUAAAUGGCCGCAGUAUUUUGACUGUGCUAAGGUAGCGUAAUAAUUAGUUCUUUAAUUGGGGACUUGGAUGAAGGGUUUGACGAGGAAUAGUCUGUUUUUAUAGUUGUAUAUUAAAAUUAAUUUAAGUGUGAGGAGGCACUUGUGGAUUUGAGGGACGAGAAGACCCUAUCGAGUUUUAUUAGUAAUAAAUUAUUAUGAAUCAUAUUAAAUAAAUUUUUAGUGUUUAUUAUUAAUUUUACUGGGGCGGUAGUGAGAGAUUUUAAUCUUUUGUUAGGUUGAUUGAAAUUAAUAUAUUAGUGAUUUUAUGAUCCAGUGUGUUUUGGUGUACUGAAAAUGGGAUUAAAUUACCGUAGGGAUAACAGCGUUAUUUUUUUGGAGAGUUCUUAUUGAUAAUUAAAUUUGCGACCUCGAUGUUGAAUUAGGAUGUCUGUUAGGCGAAGGAGCUUAAUAAGAAAGUCUGUUCGACUUUUGAAAUUCUACA